UGGCAAACGGGUGCGUAACGCGUAAGCAACCUGCCCCCAACGGGGGGAUAGCCCGGCGAAAGCGGGGGUAAACCCCCAUGGUUCACUGGAGUGGCAUCACUUCAUUGAUAAACAUUAAUGGGUUGGGGAGGGGCUUGCGUCUGAUUAGGUAGUUGGCAGUGUAAGGGACUACCAAGCCAUUGAUCAGUAGGGGUUCUGAGAGGAUUGGCCCCCACAUGGGUACUGAGAUACGGACCCAACUCCUACGGGAGGCAGCAGUAGGGAAUAUUGGGCAAUGGGGGCAACCCUGACCCAGCCAUGCCGCGUGGAGGAUGAAGGCGCUCAGCGUCGUAAACUUCUUUUACUCACGAAGAACUGAGUCCCUGCGGGGGUUUUUGACGGUAGUGAGGGAAUAAGCACCGGCUAACUCCGUGCCAGCAGCCGCGGUAAUACGGAGGGUGCGAGCGUUGUCCGGAUUUAUUGGGUUUAAAGGGUGCGCAGGUGGGUGGUUAAGUCUGGUUUGAAAACACGCGGCUCAACCGUCUGAUGUGACUGGAAAC
Molecule: ribosomal RNA, 539 nt
Filed under: uncultured Spirosoma sp.
Lineage: Bacteria; Pseudomonadati; Bacteroidota; Cytophagia; Cytophagales; Cytophagaceae
Description: bacterial SSU rRNA
Rfam family: Bacterial small subunit ribosomal RNA
Source: RNAcentral